RNAcentral lists this ribosomal RNA (253 nucleotides) under uncultured bacterium. RNAcentral describes it as "partial 16S ribosomal RNA". It matches the Rfam family "Bacterial small subunit ribosomal RNA", at positions 524 to 776 of the family's 1533-position model. The record is from RNAcentral.
UACAGAGGGUGCAAGCGUUGUUCGGAAUUAUUGGGCGUAAAGGGCGUGUAGGCGGUUUGAUAAGUCUUCUGUGAAAGCUGUGGGCUUAGCCUGCAAAGUGCAGAGGAAACUGUCAGACUUGAGUGUCGGAGAGGAUAGGGGAAUACCCAGUGUAGAGGUGAAAUUCGUAGAGAUUGGGUGGAACACCAGUGGCGAAGGCGCCUGUCUGGCUGACAACUGACGCCGAGACUCGAAAGCAUGGGGAGCAAACAGG